This 510-nucleotide ribosomal RNA is filed under the name uncultured bacterium. Its description in RNAcentral is "partial 16S ribosomal RNA". It matches the Rfam family "Bacterial small subunit ribosomal RNA", at positions 28 to 507 of the family's 1533-position model. The record is from RNAcentral.
GACGAACGCUGGCGGCGUGCUUAACACAUGCAAGUCGAACGAAGAGCGAUGGAAGCUUGCUUCCAUCAAUCUUAGUGGCGAACGGGUGAGUAACGCGUAAUCAACCUGCCCUUCAGAGGGGGACAACAGUUGGAAACGACUGCUAAUACCGCAUACGAUCUAAUCUCGGCAUCGAGGAUAGAUGAAAGGUGGCCUCUACAUGUAAGCUAUCACUGAAGGAGGGGAUUGCGUCUGAUUAGCUAGUUGGAGGGGUAACGUCCCAACAAGGCGAUGAUCAGUAGCCGGUCUGAGAGGAUGAGCGGCCAAAUUGGGACUGAGACACGGCCCAGACUCCUACGGGAGGCAGCAGUGGGGAAUCUUCCGCAAUGGACGAAAGUCUGACGGAGCAACGCCGCGUGAGUGAUGACGGCCUUCGGGUUGUAAAGCUCUGUUAAUCGGGACGGAAGGCCUUCUUGCGAAUAGUGAGAAGGAUUGACGGUACCGGAAUAGAAAGCCACGGCUAACUACGUG